UAUAUUUUAAUUAUAUAUAUACUAAGUGUAUAACCUGAGUUUAGUUAAAAUUGGAACAAUAUUGUUGGCCUACAAAAACAAACUCAAUAGGCAAAAAAAAAAAGGCAAAAUUCUACUAAACUUACACUUUCUCCCUCUCUUUCUUUCACAGAGCUCUAAAUCUCUAAUCUCUUUCUCUUUCUCUCUCUCUCUCUUUUUCUCUAUCUCUCACCCCAA
This 216-nucleotide long non-coding RNA is filed under the name Ananas comosus (pineapple). RNAcentral's name for it is "long non-coding RNA (ACOM_LNC039983)". The record is from RNAcentral. Lineage: Eukaryota; Viridiplantae; Streptophyta; Magnoliopsida; Poales; Bromeliaceae.